Molecule: long non-coding RNA, 3709 nt
Organism: Gallus gallus (chicken)
Lineage: Eukaryota; Metazoa; Chordata; Aves; Galliformes; Phasianidae
Exons: 3
Source: RefSeq, a predicted model, not a curated record
CAGGAAGAGAACUCUCUCACUCCAAUGUGGUGUUAGAAAUGGCAUUCUUUUAUUCCUUACAAUAUAUACCAGGUGACUUGACAAAUCACGUGCAUGCUCUCAGAGUUCAAAUUCUACAUUUAACCAGUUAAGACAUACAUACGCAACACACUGGGAUACGUAUUUAUUCUUUUCCAAGAACUCAUCAAUAGAUGCUGAUGUCCCUCUGUGCGUGAACAGUAGCGACCUCUGGUGGUCUUCAACCACGUCCUUUCUCCCCCUUUUUUCCACCAUCACGGUCGUCACAGUGACUUUUGGCUGACCUCUAGCUAUUUUUCCCCAGUUUUGCACAUUUUCAUUGCUUGUUAGGCCAUGACGAGAAACUUUCUAUCUUAGAGCACUCUAAUCCAAAACAAUAUAUGUGAAAUCUGAGGAAGAAGUCUUUGCACCUGGUAGAUGCAUAGACAGAAGUAGUCCAUUGUGACUCCAGUGCUCCUUUGAAGCAGAAUUGGUGAGAAAAACAAGGCUGUUCACACACGAAGUUAAAAUAGAAAGUUUUGGAACUAGCACUCAUUAAUUCCUUUCGCUAAACUAAUAUAUUAGUCCUUAAAUUAAUAUACUGAUCCCUCUUGCUAAACCAGCCUAUAUCAUCUGAGGCUUACUUUACCACUGUAUGUGGAAACAGCCUAGUGACGCUGUUUACUUCUCUUCAUAUCUCUUUGUACACCAGUGCUCUUCCCAUCUCUAAAGAUCAGUAUAUCUCUUCUCUGUUGUGACCCAGAUGUCUUCCCCAUCCUGUGGACCAAAGGUCUGCCAGCUCAGGGGUACCUCAGCAGGAGCUCCAGGAGCAGAGAAAGAUCCAGAGCAGGAUGUUCUGCAAACGUGUACUAAUGGGGCUGUACCACUGUGAAAGGCUUUACUGGAGGCAAUAGGUGACAGAUGUAACUUUGUUAUUUCAGGUGUAUGCUAACCAGAACUGGCCUCUUCACAGCACCCAGGAAAGAUGCAACUUGCCUAUACCACUGUGCUAUUGUUGUAUUGUAUGUGUGUAUUAUUGGUGGGGGAGUCAGUUGUUUGUGCUCUGUUGAAAGCAACACUGUCAUCCUAAGCGUGAGCUCACCCAAAACUCUUACACAGACCUUCACUUCCCACUGAAAAUAAGUUGAAGCAUUAUACCCCAGUGUCAUGGCUUUAUGAUUUUUGGUUAUUGGUAUUCCACAUCAUAACAUCAUGCAGUGUACUGGGAGUUAAAGAGCAAAUGCUCUAGUUCCGGGUACUUGUCCGGAAGAGAAGAAGAACUACGUUCCCCAGAAGGCUGUUUGAGUACUGUUAUCAUUCCUGCUCAGGGGAACAGAUAUAAGGCCUGUAGGUCACCUGACCUGAGUCUUCUCCUUCUUCUUGUCUCGUCGUGCUCGCUUUCGGAUCGUCUCGCUGCUGCUCCCGACUGCACGCAAGGCUUCAGUAUUGGUCCUGUGGGAUUUUCAAAACCUCAGCAACCCUGAUCCAAUCAGCUUGUGGCAAGAGAACUACCAUAUGUUUGGAAAUCUUGGAGAAAUAAAGCAUUUGCCUGAAGUACAUUCAGAGAAGAUGUGAAGACAGCCUGAUCUAGAUGAUCCUGGGAGAAGCUGGCUGGAUGGUAGUUUUAUGUCUUUCCAGUUCCUGGGAAAUCACAGAAUCAUAGCAUCAGCAAGAUUGCAAAAGACCUCUGAGAUCACCCAGUCCAACCAUCCACCUAUCACUAAUAUUUCCCACUAAACCAUGUCCUUCAGUACAACAUCUAAAUAUUUAUUGAGCACCUCCAGGGACAGUGACUCCACCACCUGCCUGGGCAGCCCAUUCCAGUGCCUGACCACACUCUCGAAAAAGAAGUAUUUCCUAACAUUCAACCUGAAUCUCCCCUGGCACAACUUGAGGCCAUUUCCUCUAGCCCUGCUGCUAGAUACAUAGGAGAAGAGAGAUAUGAGUCUCUUACAACAAAAGGUAAGGGUGGCCUACUCCUUACCAUUACUUGUUGUGUUUGCAGAGACAGCAUUUUUCUCACUAAUGACUGAUGGUGUCUAGUCUGAGGUUCAGAACAAGCUGUGAAACACUCUUUGAUGGCUGCUUCCCAACACUUCCACACAGAUAGGGAAGGCUGAGAACUGCUGCCUGCCAGCUGCAGCAUGCACACUGCUCAUCAGCACCAAACCUUUCUGAACUGUGACUCUGCGUGUGCCUGAACUCUUCCGCUGCCAUUCCUUACCCCUCCCAGAUGACCCCAUGUCCAUGUCUUCAGUGUAAGUAUGCUUAUAUACAAAUUAUAUGACAUGUCUGGAACUGAGAAUCAUCAAAUUCAUUGAAGUGUGGAGAUGCCCACUCUGUUAGCCCAGUGAAUGUGGCAGUGCAGCUAAUGGCAAACACUCAAGUGCUGGGAGCCCCAUUUGAGCAACUGCAUCUGUGCAGAAACCUGGUGGAGCCCAGCAGUGCUCUCACAGCACAGCACUCAGCCUGGGCAAACUGAGACCCGUAGGACUUGUAAUUAAAACUUUACAGCUCUGUGCUAUGGCAUAAUGUAUCUAGCAAAAAUUACAAGUUUUUAUUGUUGAAAUAUCAAAAAAUAGUGCCUGUAAUGCAGAAAGAAUGCAUUGCCAGGCACAAUUACUGUUAGGUAAAAAGCAAUCACUGUUGUUGAUUCAGACUUGGUUUUCCUGCCUUUUGUAUUGUCAAGUAUUGGCUUGACAAAGUGUUAGGUAUCCCUAAUACAGUAUUCCAUGGAGAACUUAAGCAACAUGGCAUCUCAUUUUUCAAGGCUACCCAACAACAGAGCCUGAAGUAUAUAUAGCUUUCUUUUCUGGUCAUCAGUAACAUGGAAGAUAAUAAAAUAUUUAUGUUACAUAACAGGAACCCUCUGGUUAUGCUUUAUUUUUGGAAAAGUUAAAAAAAAAAGUACAAGGGCUUCUCUGAAAUGAGCACUUACAGCUUAAUGGGAAAUGUGACGUGGAUUUAGCAGCAGCAGUGAACAAAAGCAGCAGACUGAGGUAGCAAUGGAGUGCUCCAGAGUUUGAUGCAUCUUGCUUUCUUCAAGCCACAUCAUGUGGACAAUUAUGUGCUCACUGCAUUUGCCAGCAGGGCAGUUUUUCUUGUUCCCCACACAAAUGUGUGUCUCGUGUAUAAUUCCAGAGCUUUAAUUGAGAUGGAGUGUGUUUCCGCAUAGAAUUACCCCUGAGAAGUUAACUCUCUGCCAGGGAGUGAUACUGAGCAAAACAGAGCUCAGCCUGAGCAUAGAGGUGAUGCCCAUGCUUUCCAGACCAGGCUGGAGGCUGCUUUUGCUGAACUAUGGCAAAGAAGUGGGUGCAGGAUCAUGAUGUUGGAGUUAAUGUGGAUUUUCUCUCCCCAUAUUAACUCUACACGUGCAAAAGAGGUGUUGAAACUCAUCUCUGAUAAUAUCACAUUAUCACAGGCAUACUUGGCCUUUCUCAAAAUGAUUCAAAAGUACCCCAGAAAGAUAAAUACAAUGUCCCUGACAUUCUGCCUAGAUAUUUCAUCACAGCAUUGCUACAAAUCAGCAUUAUAUUGCACCAUGCCAUUACCAACCUUCUGACAGAGUAUUAUCCUGGGUAAGUGUUUGACUGUCCUGCAGAUAGGUCUGGUGAGUGAACAGAUGAAAGAAAAGAAAAAAAGCAGGAAGACUUAGUGGACAAAAGGUUGGCUAAGAGCCUGAACGUCAAAAUUGAAGCUGUUGGUGCUCAGG